AGAGACAGCAGUAGCCGCGGGAAUACCGAGGGUGCGAGCGUUAAUCGGAUUUACUGGGCGUAAAGCGUGCGUAGGCGGCUUUUUAAGUCGGAUGUGAAAUCCCUGAGCUUAACUUAGGAAUUGCAUUCGAUACUGGGAAGCUAGAGUAUGGGAGAGGAUGGUAGAAUUCCAGGUGUAGCGGUGAAAUGCGUAGAGAUCUGGAGGAAUACCGAUGGCGAAGGCAGCCAUCUGGCCUAAUACUGACGCUGAGGUACGAAAGCAUGGGGAGCAAACAGGAUUAGAUACCCGAGUAGUCCUGUCUCUUAUACA
This 309-nucleotide ribosomal RNA is filed under the name uncultured bacterium. Its description in RNAcentral is "partial 16S ribosomal RNA". It matches the Rfam family "Bacterial small subunit ribosomal RNA", at positions 504 to 809 of the family's 1533-position model. The record is from RNAcentral.